GUAGAGGAUGUGCUGCAGCUGCGUGUACUCCACCUCCGUCAUCUCCACCAGGCUCAGGGCCUGGCAGCUCACGUCUGUCUAGCCCCGAAUAGUGUUCUGCUGCCUGGGUGGUCCACAGCUUUGUGUCCGUCACCCACCGAGGGCAUCUUGGUUGCUGCCGAGUUUGGGCGACUGAGAAUAAAGCUGCCGUAAACACUGUGUGCCGCUUUUCUCCUUCUUUGGGAAAACGCCAAGGAGCACGGUUGUGGAUCGUAUGUCCUCUGGCAGAGCUGUGCCCGGGAUGACCCACGUGAGGAGAGAUCAUGAAGAAGUGGGUUAUGCUCUGCCUUGGUUUCUGUCUGGAGCCACUCAGGGUGCCACAUACUCAACUAGGGAAGAAAUGGGAAGAGCAGACCGUGGGAACAUUUGUGCACUCGCUACAUGUGUGACAGCGCACUUGCUACAUCAGGAGUUGGCGAGCACAGCCCUCAGCCCCAAUCCAGCCUACUGUCCGUGAAGGACCGUGAGCAAAGAAAGGUUUUUAUGUUUUUAAA
Molecule: long non-coding RNA, 533 nt
Organism: Hyaena hyaena (striped hyena)
Lineage: Eukaryota; Metazoa; Chordata; Mammalia; Carnivora; Hyaenidae
Exons: 4
Source: RefSeq, a predicted model, not a curated record